RNAcentral lists this ribosomal RNA (528 nucleotides) under Rahnella sp. L4. RNAcentral describes it as "bacterial SSU rRNA". It matches the Rfam family "Bacterial small subunit ribosomal RNA", at positions 1 to 522 of the family's 1533-position model. The record is from RNAcentral. Lineage: Bacteria; Pseudomonadati; Pseudomonadota; Gammaproteobacteria; Enterobacterales; Yersiniaceae.
UGGAGAGUUUGAUCCUGGCUCAGAUUGAACGCUGGCGGCAGGCCUAACACAUGCAAGUCGAGCGGUAGCACAGGAGAGCUUGCUCUCUGGGUGACGAGCGGCGGACGGGUGAGUAAUGUCUGGGAAACUGCCUGAUGGAGGGGGAUAACUACUGGAAACGGUAGCUAAUACCGCAUGACCUCGCAAGAGCAAAGUGGGGGACCUUCGGGCCUCACGCCAUCGGAUGUGCCCAGAUGGGAUUAGCUAGUAGGUGGGGUAAUGGCUCACCUAGGCGACGAUCCCUAGCUGGUCUGAGAGGAUGACCAGCCACACUGGAACUGAGACACGGUCCAGACUCCUACGGGAGGCAGCAGUGGGGAAUAUUGCACAAUGGGCGCAAGCCUGAUGCAGCCAUGCCGCGUGUGUGAAGAAGGCCUUAGGGUUGUAAAGCACUUUCAGCGAGGAGGAAGGCGUUGUAGUUAAUAGCUGCAGCGAUUGACGUUACUCGCAGAAGAAGCACCGGCUAACUCCGUGCCAGCAGCCGCGGUA